AGGGGAGUGAAACAGUCUCUGAAACCGUGCGCCUACAAUCCGUCGGAGCCCUUUUGUGGGGUGACGGCGUGCCUAUCGAAAAAUGAGUCUGCGAGUCAGUGGCAUGUGGCGAGCAUAACCCGUGUGGGGUAUGCGUAGCGAAGGCGAGUCUUAAAAGGCGUUUGAGUCGCGUGUCCUGGACCCGAAGCGGGAUGAUCUAGCCCUGAGCAGGUUGAAGCGCGGGUAAGACCGCGUGGAGGACCGAACCCACCUGGGUUGAAAACCGGGGGGAUGACUUGGGGCUAGGGGUGAAAGGCCAAUCAAAUUCCGUGAUAGCUGGUUCUCUCCGAAAUGCAUUUGGGUGCAGCGUCGGGUCAUUACGUCCCGGGGGUAGAGCUACUGGAUGCUUGCGGGCCCGUAUCGGGUACCAACAGCAACCAAACUCCGAAUACCGGUGACGCGUAUCCCGGCAGUGAGUCGGCGGGGGAUAAGCUUCGUCGUCGAAAGGGAAACAGCCCAGACCGUCGUCUAAGGUCCCGAAGCGUGUGCUAAGUGGGAAAGGAUGUGGAGUCGCAUAGACAGCCAGGAGGUUGGCUCAGAAGCAGCCAUCCUUUAAAGAGUGCGUAACAGCUCACUGGUCUAGUGGUUCCGCGCCGACAAUGUAGCGGGGCUCAAGCACACCACCGAAGACGCGGCAGUAUUUUGUACUGGGUAGGAGAGCGUCCCAUGAGGGGCGAAGCGGCCGUGUGAACGCGCCGUGGACUUCAUGGGAGUGAGAAUGCAGACAUGAGUAGCGAGAGACGGGUGAAGAUCCCGUCCGCUGGAUGACCAAGGGUUCCAGGGCCACGUUCAUCGUCCCUGGGUGAGUCGGGUCCUAAGGCGAGGCCGACAGGCGUAGUCGAAUGGAUGAACGGGUCGAUAUUCCCGUACCGACCAUGGACCGGCAAAACCGAGACGGUGAGUACUAACCUCCGCCUCGUGGUGGUUCCUUCCUUCGGGUUGGUAUCGCCGCGUGGUGUUGGGAGCGUAGCCGCAGUAGGUCAGCGCAGGGGUGACACGGAAUGGGAGCCGGCCGCGGAGGUGGUCUUCCGUGGUCAAGCACGCAGGGCGUGGGACAGGCAAAUCCGUCCCGCAUGGGUCCGAGGUGCGAUGAUGGGGGCCUUAUGGCCCGAUAUCCGGUGAUCCCGGCUGCCGAGAAAAGCUUCGGCGUCAGGCUCAAAGCCGCCCGUACCCCAAACCGACACUGGUGGUCAGGUAGAGAAUACCAAAGCGAUCGAGCGAAUCCUGGUCAAGGAACUCGGCAAAUCACUCCCGUGCCUUCGGUAUAAGGGAGACCCCCGAUGGUGAACACACUUGCUGUGGGAGCUUUUGGGGGUGGCACAGACCAGGGGGUAGCGACUGUUUACCAAAAACACAGGUGCAUGCGAAGGCGCAAGCCGCUGUAUAUGCACUGACGCCUGCCCGGUGCCGGAAGGUUAAGAGGAUCCGUCAGCCUUCGGGUGAAGCGGUGAAUUCAAGCCCCGGUAAACGGCGGUGGUAACUAUAACCAUCCUAAGGUAGCGAAAUUCCUUGUCGGGUAAGUUCCGACCUGCACGAA
This 1576-nucleotide ribosomal RNA is filed under the name human gut metagenome. RNAcentral's name for it is "bacterial LSU rRNA". It matches the Rfam family "Bacterial large subunit ribosomal RNA", at positions 532 to 1996 of the family's 2925-position model. The record is from RNAcentral.